GCACUGUUUCGGCAAGGGGGUCAUCCCGACUUACCAACCCGAUGCAAACUGCGAAUACCGGAGAAUGUUAUCACGGGAGACACACGGCGGGUGCUAACGUCCGUCGUGAAGAGGGAAACAACCCAGACCGCCAGCUAAGGUCCCAAAGUCAUGGUUAAGUGGGAAACGAUGUGGGAAGGCCCAGACAGCCAGGAUGUUGGCUUAGAAGCAGCCAUCAUUUAAAGAAAGCGUAAUAGCUCACUGGUCGAGUCGGCCUGCGCGGAAGAUGUAACGGGGCUAAACCAUGCACCGAAGCUGCGGCAGCGACGCUUAUGCGUUGUUGGGUAGGGGAGCGUUCUGUAAGCCUGCGAAGGUGUGCUGUGAGGCAUGCUGGAGGUAUCAGAAGUGCGAAUGCUGACAUAAGUAACGAUAAAGCGGGUGAAAAGCCCGCUCGCCGGAAGACCAAGGGUUCCUGUCCAACGUUAAUCGGGGCAGGGUGAGUCGACCCCUAAGGCGAGGCCGAAAGGCGUAGUCGAUGGGAAACAGGUUAAUAUUCCUGUACUUGGUGUUACUGCGAAGGGGGGACGGAGAAGGCUAUGUUGGCCGGGCGACGGUUGUCCCGGUUUAAGCGUGUAGGCUGGUUUUCCAGGCAAAUCCGGAAAAUCAAGGCUGAGGCGUGAUGACGAGGCACUACGGUGCUGAAGCAACAAAUGCCCUGCUUCCAGGAAAAGCCUCUAAGCAUCAGGUAACAUCAAAUCGUACCCCAAACCGACACAGGUGGUCAGGUAGAGAAUACCAAGGCGCUUGAGAGAACUCGGGUGAAGGAACUAGGCAAAAUGGUGCCGUAACUUCGGGAGAAGGCACGCUGAUAUGUAGGUGAAGUCCCUUGCGGAUGGAGCUGAAAUCAGUCGAAGAUACCAGCUGGCUGCAACUGUUUAUUAAAAACACAGCACUGUGCAAACACGAAAGUGGACGUAUACGGUGUGACGCCUGCCCGGUGCCGGAAGGUUAAUUGAUGGGGUCAGCGCAAGCGAAGCUCUUGAUCGAAGCCCCGGUAAACGGCGGCCGUAACUAUAACGGUCCUAAGGUAGCGAAAUUCCUUGUCGGGUAAGUUCCGACCUGCACGAAUGGCGUAAUGAUGGCCAGGCUGUCUCCACCCGAGACUCAGUGAAAUUGAACUCGCUGUGAAGAUGCAGUGUACCCGCGGCAAGACGGAAAGACCCCGUGAACCUUUACUAUAGCUUGACACUGAACAUUGAGCCUUGAUGUGUAGGAUAGGUGGGAGGCUUUGAAGUGUGGACGCCAGUCUGCAUGGAGCCGGCCUUGAAAUACCACCCUUUAAUGUUUGAUGUUCUAACGUGGACCCGUGAUCCGGGUUGCGGACAGUGUCUGGUGGGUAGUUUGACUGGGGCGGUCUCCUCCUAAAGAGUAACGGAGGAGCACGAAGGUUGGCUAAUCCUGGUCGGACAUCAGGAGGUUAGUGCAAUGGCAUAAGCCAGCUUGACUGCGAGCGUGACGGCGCGAGCAGGUGCGAAAGCAGGUCAUAGUGAUCCGGUGGUUCUGAAUGGAAGGGCCAUCGCUCAACGGAUAAAAGGUACUCCGGGGAUAACAGGCUGAUACCGCCCAAGAGUUCAUAUCGACGGCGGUGUUUGGCACCUCGAUGUCGGCUCAUCACAUCCUGGGGCUGAAGUAGGUCCCAAGGGUAUGGCUGUUCGCCAUUUAAAGUGGUACGCGAGCUGGGUUUAGAACGUCGUGAGACAGUUCGGUCCCUAUCUGCCGUGGGCGCUGGAGAACUGAGGGGGGCUGCUCCUAGUACGAGAGGACCGGAGUGGACGCAUCACUGGUGUUCGGGUUGUCAUGCCAAUGGCACUGCCCGGUAGCUAAAUGCGGAAGAGAUAAGUGCUGAAAGCAUCUAAGCACGAAACUUGCCCCGAGAUGAGUUCUCCCUGACCCUUUAAGGGUCCUGAAGGAACGUUGAAGACGACGACGUUGAUAGGCCGGGUGUGUAAGCGCAGCGAUGCGUUGAGCUAACCGGUACUAAUGAACCGUGAGGCUUAACCUUACAACGCCGAAG
This 2053-nucleotide ribosomal RNA is filed under the name Shigella sonnei. RNAcentral's name for it is "partial 23S ribosomal RNA". It matches the Rfam family "Bacterial large subunit ribosomal RNA", at positions 907 to 2925 of the family's 2925-position model. Lineage: Bacteria; Pseudomonadati; Pseudomonadota; Gammaproteobacteria; Enterobacterales; Enterobacteriaceae. The record is from RNAcentral.